This 527-nucleotide ribosomal RNA is filed under the name uncultured bacterium. Its description in RNAcentral is "bacterial SSU rRNA". It matches the Rfam family "Bacterial small subunit ribosomal RNA", at positions 8 to 526 of the family's 1533-position model. The record is from RNAcentral.
AGAGUUUGAUCAUGGCUCAGGACGAACGCUGGCGGCGCGCUUAACACAUGCAAGUCGAGCGAGAACCAGUCCUUCGGGACUGGGGACAGCGGCGAACGGGUGAGUAACACGUGGGUAAUCUGCCCUCGAUUCUGGGAUAGCCCGGGGAAACUCGGAUUAAUACCGGAUAGCCUCUCGAGCUUACGAGCUCUUGAGAAAAGGUAGCUUCGGCCUCCGAUCGAGGAUGAGCCCGCGGCGGAUUAGCUUGUUGGUGGGGUAAUGGCCUACCAAGGCGACGAUCCGUAGCUGGUCUGAGAGGACGAUCAGCCACACUGGGACUGAGACACGGACCAGACUCCUACGGGAGGCAGCAGUAAGGAAUAUUGGUCAAUGGGCGCAAGCCUGAACCAGCCAUGCCGCGUGCAGGAUGACUGCCCUACGGGUUGUAAACUGCUUUUGUACGGGAACAAACCUGGAUAUGUAUAUCCAGCUGAGCGUACCGUAAGAAUAAGGAUCGGCUAACUCCGUGCCAGCCGCCGCGGUAAUUC